This is a long non-coding RNA of Mastomys coucha (southern multimammate mouse), 772 nucleotides long. RefSeq lists it as uncharacterized. NCBI's taxonomy places the organism in Eukaryota, Metazoa, Chordata, Mammalia, Rodentia, Muridae. The transcript has 6 exons. The record is from RefSeq and is a predicted model, not a curated record.
ACUAAACUGUGCUGCUUCAACCCCUGGACCACUGUUCAGCUGUACUGCACUUUUAUGCUUUCUCCGUGUACACUGAGGACGUAGGAUGUAAGGAUUUCAUUUGGGCAGCCCUGAAAAUGUGUCAGCUGACUCCAUCCAACUCCCAGGGCCUGCCAAAUACCCAAGCCCAGUGGACAGAAGGACCUAGGAGAGACUGGAGAGAUGUCAUAUCUGGUGAUGAAGCUUGACUCCUAUGUCUCUGACAACACAAAGAAGGGGACUGGGUAGGGAGAUUGUACGUGCUAGAAGAUUGGCAGAAGUGAAGACCCAACAUGAUCUGGACAGAAUACGACCAAUGCACCCAUGAACUCACAGUAUCUACACCUUCUACAUGAGAUCAAGCCAAUAAGAUCAGCCAACAUUCCAGCAGACAGAAGUAACUAGACCCAGUUGUGAGCCUACCCUUUAACAGCUGAGCCACAUCUCCAGACCUGAACUCAGUUUCAUCAGCCUUGGAGGCAAGCACCUUUAUCUGCUGAGCCAUCCUACUGUACCCUCAUGAACUUUUUUCUCAAAACAAGGUCAGAGCCUUGGAGAUUGGCAGUACACCAGUGGUUUACUCUGUACAAUGAUGAAUAGUGUAACCUGUCUCAUGAGGUCAUUAUGAAGAUAACCUGGAUGCCUAUCCAUGUUUAAAUGUUUGUCAUCACGUCUCGGGCACAUACCACUCACUGUGUCCUGACUGUCAACAAGAGAGCUCUAAAGCUUACCAAAGACUGGAUAAGGACCAAAG